This 253-nucleotide ribosomal RNA is filed under the name uncultured bacterium. RNAcentral describes it as "partial 16S ribosomal RNA". It matches the Rfam family "Bacterial small subunit ribosomal RNA", at positions 524 to 776 of the family's 1533-position model. The record is from RNAcentral.
UACAGAUGGGGCAAGCGUUGUUCGGAAUUACUGGGCGUAAAGGGCGCGUAGGCGGCCGGCUCAGUCGAACGUGAAAUCCCCGGGCUCAACCCGGGAACUGCGUUCGAUACUGGCUGGCUUGAAUCCGGGAGAGGGAUGCGGAAUUCCAGGUGUAGCGGUGAAAUGCGUAGAUAUCUGGAGGAACACCGGUGGCGAAGGCGGCAUCCUGGACCAACACUGACGCUGAGGAGCGAAAGCCAGGGGAGCAAACGGG